This 395-nucleotide ribosomal RNA is filed under the name uncultured bacterium. RNAcentral describes it as "bacterial SSU rRNA". It matches the Rfam family "Bacterial small subunit ribosomal RNA", at positions 30 to 430 of the family's 1533-position model. The record is from RNAcentral.
AUUGAACGCUGGCGGCAUGCCUUACACAUGCAAGUCGAACGGUAGAGUAGCAAUACUUGAGAGUGGCGAACGGGUGAGUAAUAUAUCGGAACGUGCCCAGUCGUGGGGGAUAACGUAGAGAAAUUUACGCUAAUACCGCAUACGAUCUAAGGAUGAAAGCGGGGGAUUCGCAAGAACCUCGCGCGAUUGGAGCGGCUGAUAUCAGAUUAGGUUGUUGGUGAGGUAAAAAGCUCACCAAGCCGACGAUCUGUAGCUGGUUUGAGAGAACGACCAGCCACACUGGGACUGAGACACGGCCCAGACUCCUACGGGAGCAGCAGUGGGAAUUUUGGACAAAUGGGCGAAAGCCUGAUCAGCAAUGCCGCGUGCAGGAAGAAGGCCUUCGGGUUGUAAAC